GACGAACGCUGGCGGCGUGCUUAACACAUGCAAGUCGAACGGAAAGGCCUCUUUCGGGGGGUACUCGAGUGGCGAACGGGUGAGUAACACGUGAGUAACCUGCCCUUGACUUUGGGAUAACUUCAGGAAACUGGGGCUAAUACCGGAUAUGAGCUCCUGCUGCAUGUUGGGGGUUGGAAAGUUUCGGCGGUUGGGGAUGGACUCGCGGCUUAUCAGCUUGUUGGUGGGGUAGUGGCUUACCAAGGCUUUGACGGGUAGCCGGCCUGAGAGGGUGACCGGCCACAUUGGGACUGAGAUACGGCCCAGACUCCUACGGGAGGCAGCAGUGGGGAAUAUUGCACAAUGGGUGGAAGCCUGAUGCAGCAACGCCGUGUGCGGGAUGACGGCCUUCGGGUUGUAAACCGCUUUCGCUCAUGACGAAGCUUUGUGUGACGGUAGUGGGUAAAGAAGCACCGGCUAACUACGUG
RNAcentral lists this ribosomal RNA (467 nucleotides) under uncultured bacterium. RNAcentral's name for it is "partial 16S ribosomal RNA". It matches the Rfam family "Bacterial small subunit ribosomal RNA", at positions 28 to 507 of the family's 1533-position model. The record is from RNAcentral.